This is a long non-coding RNA of Hippocampus comes (tiger tail seahorse), 370 nucleotides long. RefSeq lists it as uncharacterized. The transcript is spliced from 2 exons. The record is from RefSeq and is a predicted model, not a curated record. Lineage: Eukaryota; Metazoa; Chordata; Actinopteri; Syngnathiformes; Syngnathidae.
AGUCAUGUAUCAGCGGAUCAGCGCACUGUGGUGCACCUGCUUCCUGUCAGUUUCGAUACUCGCUGACCUUCCGGCACGUGCUGCCACUCGGUGAGACGCGAGAGCAGGAAACGUGUGACCGCUCGGUGCCUUUCAUAGUCACUCUCGUUUUCAAUAUUCUUUCUUAUCGAUCACGAUAUUUGCUUUCACGUUAUUGGACCUUUGAUAUGUCGUUUGUGUCUUCUCUGCGUUCUCUUGUACCUUGCCUUCCCAAGCCCUUUUUGUUGUAUGGAUUGUUUUUUUUUUCUGGCUCCUUGUGGCCAGGCAAGCAAAUAGCGCUCAUAAAUUUGCUUGUUUUGACUGUGAUUAAAGUACAGAUUAGGAUAAAAAA